This 450-nucleotide ribosomal RNA is filed under the name uncultured bacterium. RNAcentral's name for it is "bacterial SSU rRNA". It matches the Rfam family "Bacterial small subunit ribosomal RNA", at positions 355 to 796 of the family's 1533-position model. The record is from RNAcentral.
UAGGGAAUAUUGCGCAAUGGAGGAAACUCUGACGCAGCGACGCCGCGUGGGUGACGAAGGCCUUCGGGUCGUAAAGCCCUGUCGGAAGGGACGAAACACGAGCUGGCUAACAUCCAGCUCGCUUGACGGUACCUUUAGAGGAAGCACCGGCUAACUACGUGCCAGCAGCCGCGGUAAUACGUAGGGUGCUAGCGUUGUUCGGAAUCAUUGGGCGUAAAGCGCGUGUAGGUGGUUAGGUAAGUCGGGUGUGAAAUCCCUCGGCUCAACCGAGGAAGUGCAUCCGAAACUCCCUAGCUAGAGGACGGUAGAGGAAGGUGGAAUUCCUAGUGUAGAGGUGAAAUUCGUAGAUAUUAGGAGGAAUACCGGUGGCGAAGGCGGCCUUCUGGGCCGUUCCUGACACUGAGACGCGAAAGCGUGGGUAGCAAACAGGAUUAGAUACCCCUGUAGUCC